GAGUUUGAUCAUGGCUCAGGAUGAACGCUGGCGGCGUGCCUAAUACAUGCAAGUCGAGCGAACGGACGAGAAGCUUGCUUCUCUGAUGUUAGCGGCGGACGGGUGAGUAACACGUGGAUAACCUACCUAUAAGACUGGGAUAACUUCGGGAAACCGGAGCUAAUACCGGAUAAUAUUUUGAACCGCAUGGUUCAAAAGUGAAAGACGGUCUUGCUGUCACUUAUAGAUGGAUCCGCGCUGCAUUAGCUAGUUGGUAAGGUAACGGCUUACCAAGGCAACGAUGCAUAGCCGACCUGAGAGGGUGAUCGGCCACACUGGAACUGAGACACGGUCCAGACUCCUACGGGAGGCAGCAGUAGGGAAUCUUCCGCAAUGGGCGAAAGCCUGACGGAGCAACGCCGCGUGAGUGAUGAAGGUCUUCGGAUCGUAAAACUCUGUUAUUAGGGAAGAACAUAUGUGUAAGUAACUGUGCACAUCUUGACGGUACCUAAUCAGAAAGCCACGGCUAACUACG
This 514-nucleotide ribosomal RNA is filed under the name uncultured microorganism. Its description in RNAcentral is "bacterial SSU rRNA". It matches the Rfam family "Bacterial small subunit ribosomal RNA", at positions 9 to 505 of the family's 1533-position model. The record is from RNAcentral.